CUCUGUUCCCUCAUUAGAACUGGAGUGCAUAUUUAUUUCCUACAAAAGUCACAACAAAAAUCACCAAUCUUUCCAGCGUACAAUCAGAGAUCUUGCAGCCAGUCCAAAACCCUAUCCUUCCUUAUUUGGGCCAGAUUUCAGGAGGAUUGAGAGAAGGCAUGGCCUUGUACUUACAGGGAGUUGUUCCCACUAAUGCUGACAAGUUUGAACUAAAUUUAAAAACUGGGCCAUCUGACAAUGAUGACAUUGCUUUCCACUUCAACCCU
This is a long non-coding RNA of Sinocyclocheilus anshuiensis, 266 nucleotides long. RefSeq lists it as uncharacterized. The record is from RefSeq and is a predicted model, not a curated record. Lineage: Eukaryota; Metazoa; Chordata; Actinopteri; Cypriniformes; Cyprinidae. The transcript has 3 exons.